CACACAACGAAUAGAAAAAGAAGAAAACAUAGUCAGCGAAAGAGGAGGAAUUGCGAGAGCUGGAAUCACAUGGGAUGCUGUUUGGUUUGUGGGACCCGGCAUCCCUACCUCACCCCCACCCCCACCACCACCCUCUCCUCUCUCUCUCUCUAAUUGUGUUCUUCUUUUUCUUUUCUCUACCGACAAUCAUAACCUCUCAAUCAUCAACGCAAAAAUGCUGCGCAGAUCGCAGAGUUGAAAUCUCGUUUUACGUUCUAAUUUUUUUUAGGUUUUCGCCUUUCGAUUUGUUUGCGGGAAUUCUGCUGUUAUGUUAUGGCCGACGAUAAGGAGAUGUCUGCUCCAGUGAUGGAUGGGAAUGGCACAGUUACUGGUCACAUAAUUUCGACCACCAUAGGGGGAAAGAAUGGGGAACCUAAGCAGACAGUUAGUUACAUGGCAGAGCGAGUUGUAGGGACCGGUUCAUUUGGAAUUGUUUUUCAGGCAAAAUGCAUUGAAACUGGAGAGACGGUGGCUAUAAAAAAGGUCUUGCAAGACAGAAGAUAUAAAAAUCGUGAGCUGCAGCUCAUGCGGACUAUGGAUCACCCGAACAUUGUUUCCUUGAAGCAUUGUUUCUUCUCAACUACAAGUCAAAAUGAGCUUUUUCUCAAUUUAGUUAUGGAGUAUGUUCCAGAAAGUAUGUUUCGUGUUCUGAAGCAUUAUAGUGAUGCAAACCAGAAAAUGCCACUCAUCUACGUGAAACUUUACACAUACCAAAUUUUCAGAGGGUUGGCUUACAUGCAUUCUGUUGCUGGUGUCUGCCACAGAGACUUGAAGCCCCAAAAUGUCUUGGUUGAUCCAGCCACCCAUAUUGUCAAGAUUUGUGAUUUUGGAAGUGCAAAAGUAUUAGUAAGAGGUGAAGCAAACAUAUCGUACAUCUGUUCUCGAUUUUAUCGGGCUCCUGAACUCAUUUUUGGUGCAACUGAAUACACUACUUCCAUUGAUAUCUGGUCAGCUGGUUGUGUCCUUGCUGAGCUUCUUCUAGGUCAACCUUUGUUUCCUGGGGAAAAUGCCGUGGGCCAGCUUGUAGAAGUCAUUAAGGUACUUGGAACUCCAACACGUGAGGAAAUCCGUUGUAUGAAUCCAAACUACAAUGAUUUCAGAUUUCCCCAAAUUAAAGCACACCCUUGGCACAAGGUAUUUCACAAAAGGAUGCCUCCAGAAGCAAUAGAUCUUACUUCCAGGUUGCUGCAAUACUCUCCAAAUCUUCGUUGCACUGCGCUUGAAGCAUGUGCCCAUCCUUUCUUUGAUGAGCUACGGGAACCUAGUGCACAGUUACCAAAUGGUCGCCCAUUGCCGCCUCUGUUCAACUUCAAACAGGAGUUGUCUGGUGCAUCUCCAGAUCUUAUCAACAAGCUGAUACCCGACCACGUGAAAAGACAGAUGGGCCUCCAGUUCUUUGCAUCCUAUGAUGGAAUGACGUAAAAUAGAUUAUACCUGCAAGUAAUAGUAGUUAAUGGGUUGAAGAACUCUUAAAACGGUUUGUAACACCUCUAACUGAGAGGGGUUAGCUGAACCAACGGCAUCUGUGGAUCUAUGAGGACCAGAACAGAAGGGGGUGGGCAAUAAUCCCACUGCAGGCUCAUCUGGAUUGUGUCUUCCAUGCAAUGCUGUUUUUUCCCCUUUUCGUACAUAGUUGCCUGUUCGGCUGUGUGUUCUAGCAGCAGAUUUUCUGGAAGAGGAGAGAUCCUUUUUGUGUAUAUGUUUGGUUACCCACAAGGAAGAAUGCAUAACAGGCAACGAUAUCAUCAGAGUGUAUGAAUAGAUGAUGUCCUAUAGGAGGCUGCCUGAAACCAAAAAUGAGAGCCGACGAUGAUAUAUCAAAUUCAAGCAAUAAGGAGACUAGGAAAAUGGACGGGGAAAGGAAAUGUCCGUCGCAUGUAAUCGACGUGACAUGCGAUGAAUUUUUGGUGGAAAAUCAGAGAGAGUGUAGAAUAUGCCAUUUGAAUGCCAAGGAGAGUGGGGGGAAUUCGGUGGAGUUGAUCGAGCUUGGCUGUGGAUGCAAAGGGGAGCUCGGAGUUGCUCAUUUGCGUUGCGCUGAGGCGUGGUUUAGAGUGAGAGGAUAUAGAAUGUGUGAGAUAUGCAGUGAGACUGCAAAGAACAUCACCGGGGUGGGAGACAUCCAGUUCAUGGAGGAAUGGAGGGAGUCUCAAAGCCCAACAGGAGGGAGCAGAAGGUGGUUGAGCGGGCAGCUCUUGUGUAGCUUCUUGAUGGCGUUUCUGGUAAUAGCGGUCGCCCUCCCAUGGUUUUUUCGCGUAAAUAUCUUGUGACGACACGAAACUGAAUCCUCAAUUUUGACAAAUUUUUGAGUUAUAGCCAUGAUCUCACACUCUGCUAUGCAAGUUUAAGUUCUUUGGCAUAUGGUUCUUGUCGUAGAUGAAGUAGAUUUUGUUACUUAGUAUUUUCAAGAAACGAGUUUUCAUCGUGUAAUACAUAUAUCGAUUGUUCA
RNA transcript from Salvia splendens (bonfire salvia), 2485 nucleotides. It is a transcript of the gene named shaggy-related protein kinase eta, with no coding region annotated. The record is from RefSeq and is a predicted model, not a curated record. NCBI's taxonomy places the organism in Eukaryota, Viridiplantae, Streptophyta, Magnoliopsida, Lamiales, Lamiaceae. The transcript has 14 exons.